This 945-nucleotide long non-coding RNA is filed under the name Malus domestica (apple). Its description in RNAcentral is "long non-coding RNA (MDOM_LNC020201)". Lineage: Eukaryota; Viridiplantae; Streptophyta; Magnoliopsida; Rosales; Rosaceae. The record is from RNAcentral.
GGAAAGGGAAAUGUGGCAAAGAAAGAGGGAAAGAGAGGGGAAGGUUGUCCCUUGUGCGGCAAGGAAAGGGAAAUAGGUAAGGUGGGCUUCCUUGUGCGGCAAGGAAGAGAAAGGGAAAGGAGAGGUGCGGCAUCCCUCUUUGACUGAGAUUAAUCUUCCAAAAUCUUGUAAUUAAGUAUCCUAAUAUCUUUAGGAAGCCUCCUUAUGGCUGGAACCUUGGUAGAUUGGGAUUAGGAUUUGACUAAGUCAAAAUAGGGUAGUUUGACUAGUCAAUCUUUUUUGUUGCUGGAUUCCUUGUCCUCUUUUGUCUUGAAUUUAUUUUCUUCUUUUCUUUGGCACAUUCCUAGCUUCCUUUGGUCUUCAAUUUCGUCCAACCACUUUGUUCCAAGCAUAUGCUAUCCAUUCCAUGCCCAAAAACUGCUCUAAAAGGCACCAAAAUGCACUUUCUUGCCACUUUAGCUCUUUGGACCUGAAAACACACGAAAAUAGCUUAAAAAACUAAAAUAACUAGGAACUAACAACAUAAAUGCACAAAAACAAGCUAAGGCGCAUAAAUAUGCUCCUAUCAUAGGGCCAUUAGAAUGAGUACUCCAAAGAUCCAAAGCUUAUUGGGCGUCAAAAGUAACAAUUUUUCCAUAUGGAGUGUAUUUGGACUGUUUUCGGCAUUCAUGGGAACAAACGACCAUGCGUUUGACACCCUUUGAAACUUAAGAAAAUAAAUACAUAUAAUACACUACUACAACCAUAAGAAUGAGUAUUUAAAAGAUUAAAACUUUGUUGGGUGUCAAAAGUACACAGCUUUACUAUAUGGAGGGUAUUUGGACUGUUUUCAGCAUUAAUAUGGUCGAACGAGCGUGCCUUUUGACAACUUUUGGAACUAAGAAAAUAAACACAUAUAAUACACUACGAGGACCAUAACAAUGAGUGUUCAAAAGAUCAAAACAU